This 98-nucleotide transfer RNA is filed under the name Ralstonia flatus. RNAcentral describes it as "Ralstonia sp. LMG 32965 tRNA-Glu". Lineage: Bacteria; Pseudomonadati; Pseudomonadota; Betaproteobacteria; Burkholderiales; Burkholderiaceae. The record is from RNAcentral.
CGCAGUUCGUGGCUGACGGUUGCCAGGAAGUCGUCUUUCAGGCGGCUGGCGCGCUCGGCUUCUUCGCGUGCGCGGGAUUCGGCUUCGAGCAACUGCGU